CGAACGGGAAUGCACAUAUUUAUAUAUUAAAUUGUCUAUUGUUUUGAAAUAAUAGAAUUUCAUUAUUUCUUUUGCCUUAAAGUUACACCAACUGGUUCCUUGUUUUUUCUUUUCAUUAUCUAAUCCGUUUAAAGAUUUGUUAAACCCUCGGGUGCCUCAAUGGUAUUUGUAAUACGUCUGUAAUACGAGUACACAAAUUGGUGUGUAAAUCCGCAAGCAGUGAACAGUGUGUGGCGUUUACCUAUAGCUAUACUGACGCGUUGAUAUAAUCUUCAGAUUUACACAGAAAACUUCUUGUCAAGAUGAUUUCAUUAGAGAGCUGUUUGGUAUUUAUUCUGUCAACCAUCAUUCCAGCAAUAUAUUGUGAGGGAGAAAAGCUUGAAUCCAAUUACAAGCACCCUGAUGUAGCAGCUGAAAGACAGCAGACGGUCAUCAUCGGAGUUGUUGUUGGUCUGUGUCUAGCCUGUGUUUUCCUCGUCAUUCUCUGCAUCUCAUACAACUAUUACAAACACAAGCCAUACAGGAACACCCCACGUGAUGUUGAGGAACCAUUAACAGCCAUGAAAUAAACAGGAAAUGACACUUGACUAUGGAAUCAUGGGUAAUUCCACAUUCCAUUUGUUGGAAUUAUUUUGUAGUUACACAUGAGAUGGAAUUUCCCAUGAUUCUAUAGGAUUUUUUUGUGAUAAAAGAAAGAAGACACAUUUUGAAAACAGCUGAAAAUUUGAAAAAACUGACAUUAGAAUCUCAAUGCAAGACACAACGAAAGGAGAUUUGAUACUUUUUUUUUUUACCAAGAAUUGAAGUGUACAGGAUAGAUAUAUUAUUGUCUCCCUUUUCAAAAAAGUUUAUGAAAUAAAAGACCAAAAAAUCUUUCUAUAUGCAAAUCAGCAAAUCAGUAAAUUACAUACAUGUGUAAUUAUUCUGAGAAAAAUAUUCAAUGUCAAUUUUUUUUUUAUCUUCAUUGUCAGAGGAUGGUACAAAAUGAUAUUCCUGAUUCAUUGAGUGUCCCAUUAUAGAUUUCAUAAAUAAAGAAACCAAUUAAAUUAAUAGUCUGAAUAAGUUUUCAACUGUCAAAUCUGUACACUAAGAUAUGAAUCAGAUAGUAGUAAUAUAGUAGAAAUGCUUAUUUUUGCUCAUUGUGCAAUUUUGUAAUUUUAUAUAUAGUUAUAUUCCAUAAAACUCGGGAUUUUGUACAUUAAAAUCAUAUAUUCAGUUUUCAUAUAUCCAAUUCAAUGCAAGUCUUUUAUGGUUAAUCAUUAUUUUGUGUAAAAUGAAAUGGACAUUGAAUAAUUAUUUUUUUUAAAGUUUGAAUCUCCAGAUUGGACAAUAGCCGACAAUUUUAGUUUAAAGUAAGAGAUUGUAGUCGUUAGAAAUUAGGUUAUUAAUACAAUAUAUUCCAUUACCAUAAUCAUUCCUUGUCUAUAAAAAAUAGAUUGUUGUCCAAUUUUCUCUUCCAAUGUAAUCAUGGUUUCAUAACAUUGCAUUGAUGCUAUACAUUUGUAUGCAUUUAAUCAUUGUUCUUUUGUCUGUAUUUUAAACUUAUUUUAUUCUCUAAAUUUUUAUAACCUAAUGACUCCUAAUUCAAGAAAUAUAUUACAUUUUGGUAAAAUAGGAAAAACUAAAUAACUGUGAAAUGAAAGUUGAUUAAGUUUGUUUUUAAAAAUGUAAGACUUCAAAUUAUAUAUUUAUUUGAUAUAGGAUUGAAUUCUUCCAAAUACAUAUUUUAUCUUUAAAUUUUUAAAAGAAAUUAGUAUUUUUCUUAGUUCUUUAGAUUUAUAUAUAUAUAUAUUCUUAUGUAGAGAUAGUAAAAUUUAUUUUUGUUACCUCCCCUUUUUUGGCUGGUGUUGUUACCUCCCUUUAAUUUCAGCUGGUUUGAACUUUCAUGCAAUAUAUAGAUUGUUCCAUAUAACAUCACCAGCCCUAGUAUGUAGUUGAAGUAUCACAUUUAAUACUAUUAAGAGUUUGGUGUGCAUUAUAACUUUAGAAAAGAAGAUGAUAUUUCACAAGAGACAAAUCCGUCCCUUUGGUAUUUGAAGGAACUACUUAAACUUGUCGAAUUCUCAUAAAAAUAAUUUCAAGCUCUGAUAUGAAAUUAAAUGUCUGAAUAAUUUCAGCUCUUCUAACCUCAGGAUAUUUCAGUUAUUUGACAUAUUCAUUAAAAAGGUUUAAAGCAUUUUCUCCAAUUUGGAAACAAAUCAUUUUCACCAGGAAAAUUUGAUCAUUGUCAAGUUUUUCAUCUAGUUAUAAAGGUAUAACAUCACUAAUGGAUUGGAUGGAAAUUCAAAGAAAAAAAUACUGCAGCCUCGUUUAAGAGGCACACAAAAGCCUGAGAAAAUAAACAAUAAUUAUGCAUGUUUUGUUAUUUUUACUGUACAUAAGACUCUAUAAAUGGAAAUUGGAACAUUUUAAUAGUAUGUAGUAAUUUUUCAUUUUAUGAAAAGAACUUUCCGAAAAAUAAAAAUAUGAUUUUA
Molecule: long non-coding RNA, 2474 nt
Organism: Mytilus trossulus (common blue mussel)
Lineage: Eukaryota; Metazoa; Mollusca; Bivalvia; Mytilida; Mytilidae
Exons: 3
Source: RefSeq, a predicted model, not a curated record